This 841-nucleotide long non-coding RNA is filed under the name Marmota monax (woodchuck). Lineage: Eukaryota; Metazoa; Chordata; Mammalia; Rodentia; Sciuridae. The record is from RNAcentral.
CUGACCCCAAAGAAGGAACUUCGUUUUGAAGUUUAGUCCUUGUUCCUGAAAGCUGAUAAAAAUCCUCAAAUGGUAUUCCCAGAAUUUGGAAACAUACUUGAAAAUGGUAACAUCUAAAAUUGAAGUUGAAAGGAAUCAACAUACAAGGUUUGGAAUCCUCCUGCAGCCCUGACCCAGGCAUUGUAAUUAAGUUGCUUAUUAGAUUAGAGGUUUUCCAAAGUUCCUCUUGGAUUCACAUUUUUCCCAAAUCUAGUCAAGAAGAUUAAAAUGUAACUCUUUUAAAAUAAACUGUUCUUCUAUUUAUUAAAACAUAAGUGACCUCAUAAUGAAACCUAGAACAAAAGGAGUAAACAGGAAGAAUUUGACACUCCAGCUGCCUCCAGUUCCACUGGCUAGUUUAGGAAAGACUAUCAGAUACAUGCUAUCAAAUUACUUUUGUAAUUUUCUGCCUGUUGGUUGCUGUUUUUCUUGUUUACUAAUUGACUUACUACCUCCCACCUCUGGAAUGUAAGCACCUUUCAGGAUAGGUACCUUGUUCACAGCUGUAUUCCUGAUUGCUAAAACAGUACUUGGCACCUGCAACACCCUCAACACAUAUUUGUUGAAUAAGUAAGUAUGCCCAGUUAUUACCUCUUGAUGAUGCCAUCUAUUAAGAUCAUACAACUCUGUUUACUUUGAUUCUUAAGUCACUAAGCAAGCUUUUCAUAUUUGUUCAAAUUCUCAAGCAUAAUAUUCAAAUCGGCCAACAUGAGAAUUCGAAUGAACUUGAAAAUCCCAUUUCUUAUUGUAACCUGUUGUGAUUAGUGAUUAAUGGAUUAACUCCCAUUAUGAAGGUCUGGGG